GACGAACGCUGGCGGCGUGCUUAACACAUGCAAGUCGAACGGAAAGGCCCUGCUUUUGUGGGGUGCUCGAGUGGCGAACGGGUGAGUAACACGUGAGUAACCUGCCCUUGACUUUGGGAUAACUUCAGGAAACUGGGGCUAAUACCGGAUAGGAGCUCCUGCUGCAUGGUGGGGGUUGGAAAGUUUCGGCGGUUGGGGAUGGACUCGCGGCUUAUCAGCUUGUUGGUGGGGUAGUGGCUUACCAAGGCUUUGACGGGUAGCCGGCCUGAGAGGGUGACCGGGCACAUUGGGACUGCGAUACGGCGCAGACUCCUACGGGAGGCAGCAGUGGGGAAUAUUGCACAAUGGGCGGGAGCGUGAUGCAGCAACGCCGCGUGCGGGAUGACGGCCUUCGGGUUGUAAACCGCUUUCGCCUGUGACGAAGCGUGAGUGACGGUAAUGGGUAAAGAAGCACCGGCUAACUACGUG
This 468-nucleotide ribosomal RNA is filed under the name uncultured bacterium. RNAcentral describes it as "partial 16S ribosomal RNA". It matches the Rfam family "Bacterial small subunit ribosomal RNA", at positions 28 to 507 of the family's 1533-position model. The record is from RNAcentral.